This 427-nucleotide ribosomal RNA is filed under the name Salmonella enterica subsp. enterica serovar Haduna. Its description in RNAcentral is "bacterial SSU rRNA". It matches the Rfam family "Bacterial small subunit ribosomal RNA", at positions 1118 to 1533 of the family's 1533-position model. Lineage: Bacteria; Pseudomonadati; Pseudomonadota; Gammaproteobacteria; Enterobacterales; Enterobacteriaceae. The record is from RNAcentral.
CCAGCGGUUAGGCCGGGAACUCAAAGGAGACUGCCAGUGAUAAACUGGAGGAAGGUGGGGAUGACGUCAAGUCAUCAUGGCCCUUACGACCAGGGCUACACACGUGCUACAAUGGCGCAUACAAAGAGAAGCGACCUCGCGAGAGCAAGCGGACCUCAUAAAGUGCGUCGUAGUCCGGAUUGGAGUCUGCAACUCGACUCCAUGAAGUCGGAAUCGCUAGUAAUCGUGGAUCAGAAUGCCACGGUGAAUACGUUCCCGGGCCUUGUACACACCGCCCGUCACACCAUGGGAGUGGGUUGCAAAAGAAGUAGGUAGCUUAACCUUCGGGAGGGCGCUUACCACUUUGUGAUUCAUGACUGGGGUGAAGUCGUAACAAGGUAACCGUAGGGGAACCUGCGGUUGGAUCACCUCCUUACCUUAAAGAAGC